Molecule: ribosomal RNA, 465 nt
Filed under: uncultured bacterium
Lineage: Bacteria
Description: partial 16S ribosomal RNA
Rfam family: Bacterial small subunit ribosomal RNA
Source: RNAcentral
CCUACGGGUGGCAGCAGUGGGGAAUAUUGCGCAAUGGGCGAAAGCCUGACGCAGCAACGCCGCGUGAGGGAUGAAGGUCUUCGGAUCGUAAACCUCUGUCAGCAGGGAAGAACGGUCACUGUGCUAAUCAGCAGUGAAUUGACGGUACCUGCAAAGGAAGCACCGGCUAACUCCGUGCCAGCAGCCGCGGUAAUACGGAGGGUGCGAGCGUUAAACGGAAUGGCGGGGCGUAAAGCGCGCGUAGGCGGUAUGGCAAGUCAAGGGUGAAAUCCCUGGGCUCAACGUGGGAACUGCCUUUGAAACGGGCAAUCUGGAGGGGUGGAGAGGAAGGUGGAAUUCCAGGGGUAGCGGUGAAAUCCGUAGAUAUUUGGAGGAACACCAGUGGCGAAGGCGGUUAUCUGGAAAACAACUGACGCUGAGGAGCGAAAGCGUGGGUAGCAAACAGGAUUAGAUACCCUGGUAGUC